RNA transcript from Oncorhynchus mykiss (rainbow trout), 472 nucleotides. RefSeq lists it as uncharacterized. The record is from RefSeq and is a predicted model, not a curated record. NCBI's taxonomy places the organism in Eukaryota, Metazoa, Chordata, Actinopteri, Salmoniformes, Salmonidae.
CCCAGAUCUGUAGUGGUGCCUCUAGCACUGCGAUGCAAUGCCUUAGACCCCUGCGCCACUCAGACCUCCAGCAGCUCAUUGUCUCUAAGGAAGCGGUUCCCCCUGAGCAGCAACACUGUGAGAAGGAAUGGAGCCCCAAUCUGGGGCAGGAGGUAAAAGAGGAACAGGAAGAACUCCGGACCAGUCAAGUGGAAAAGCAGCUUCAAGGGCUGGAGGAAGAGUUCAUAUUCUCUCCUGCCUUUGUGAAAAGUCACUAUGAUCAGGUUUCAAGUUGGACCUCACAUUUUCCCAGCACCUCAAAUGAACAGAUCAACACAGAAUCUGAUGGAGAGGACUACAGAUUAUUUGAACCAACCAGUGACUCCCAGACCCUCGCUGCAAUUAAUCUAGACUGUUCUGUAGCUAACUCCAUGGGUUCUCUAGUUUGUCAUAUGAAAAUGCAUGCGAAGGACGCAGACGAUAGUGGUGUGUG